UGACCUUACGGUCACCCUGGAUGGCGAUAUGGCGCUGGCGGGAACUUGAUUGAUCAUGAAACACUCCACAUGCAUGCUCUUUGCAGACUUUGCUUGUAAAGUGAAUAUGAAAUGAGAACCAUGGAGAGAUUUAUGACGCAAAUGACAUGUUUUGAUGAUUAAGAGCAAAUCCCUCGAUUUCAGCAAUUAUGGAUCUGGUUAGGCCUACUGUUCUUAUCACUACAGUUUGACACCACCAAGGCAUAGCCCCGGCAUAAAUGUGGCCGAUUUACUGGACUACCUCCAUGUCCUCCCAUGGAACCCUAUUUUUACGUGUUUGAGAAAAUUCACCAUGAUCACGGAGAUCACGCGAGGAAGAGGAGUGUCUCCAACAUGUUAUCGUACCUUGGAUGGCAAGGGAAACCCACUGAUAACUCACAGAAAAAUGUUACCAAACUUGAAAAAGUACAUGAGCGCUCUGCAGCCAGAUUUGUUUGCAGCGAGCGACUGUAGCAGGCAUAGCAGUGUGACAUCAAUGCUUGA
Molecule: long non-coding RNA, 522 nt
Organism: Patiria miniata (bat star)
Lineage: Eukaryota; Metazoa; Echinodermata; Asteroidea; Valvatida; Asterinidae
Exons: 2
Source: RefSeq, a predicted model, not a curated record